RNAcentral lists this ribosomal RNA (253 nucleotides) under uncultured bacterium. RNAcentral's name for it is "partial 16S ribosomal RNA". It matches the Rfam family "Bacterial small subunit ribosomal RNA", at positions 524 to 776 of the family's 1533-position model. The record is from RNAcentral.
UACAGCGGGGGCAAGCGUUGUUCGGAAUUACUGGGCGUAAAGGGCUCGUAGGCGGUUUGUCGCGUCGGGAGUGAAAUCCACUGGCUUAACUGGUGGCUUGCUUUCGAUACGGGCAGACUGGAGGUAUGCAGGGGAGAACGGAAUUCCUGGUGAAGCGGUGAAAUGCGCAGAUAUCAGGAGGAACACCGGUGGCGAAGGCGGUUCUCUGGGCAUGUCCUGACGCUGAGGAGCGAAAGUGUGGGGAGCGAACAGG